CGGUCACAGUUCAGGUAUGGGACUGUCUGAGUUCUCCGCUAAGGACGGACCUUGUUCAGCAACGUGUCGGUGAUGGAUCUGUAGGAGCGACCGACAUCAGUAGGUCCAGGUGUCCGGGUCUUAGUGGGUACAAGAGCUCUGCUAUUCUGGAACCUGUGUGGUUCUAGUUGAGACUGUCGACGUUGGAGUACCCCUCUUAAGAGCGUAAAAGUGUGAAAUUUCAUCCCUGUGACUCCCGGGUUGGGAAGCUUGCGGUCAUGUGUGACGCCAAAUAAAUUCCUAGUUGUUUCCAUUAAAUCUAGUUAUAUGUUCUUUUGUCCAUUUCCACCAAAAUACAUUCCAAUGAUUAUUACCUUGUUUAUCCUAUGGAUCAAGUUCAUCUGUUGAGAUACACUAUCAUACUAUUCUUCUUUGUUGCAUAGUGAAGUACCUACUUACUGAGUAUGACUUGUCGUACUCACCCUUGUUUUCUCUGUUUUUCUAGAUGCAGAUGAUGUAACUUAAGCAUGUUCAGAAGAUGUCGUCAUCUAAAAUUAGGCUAGACCAGUGGGUGGGAAGCGACUAUAGACUGAUUUAUUUGAGAUGUUGGAAAUGUAAAGAAUUUGUAAAAGAAAAUAUAUGAGCUUUUGUGAUCCACUGCUGGUUUAUGCCUGCUUUAUCACGCCUUGCGUGACUAUAGGCCUCUGGUCUAUAGGUGCGCGGCGGCUGUCUCGCCUAGGGCCGGUCUUGG
Molecule: long non-coding RNA, 730 nt
Filed under: Triticum aestivum (bread wheat)
Lineage: Eukaryota; Viridiplantae; Streptophyta; Magnoliopsida; Poales; Poaceae
Description: long non-coding RNA (TAES_LNC021210)
Source: RNAcentral